RNAcentral lists this long non-coding RNA (277 nucleotides) under Lathyrus oleraceus (garden pea). Its description in RNAcentral is "Pisum sativum (pea) long non-coding RNA (PSAT_LNC022894)". The record is from RNAcentral. Lineage: Eukaryota; Viridiplantae; Streptophyta; Magnoliopsida; Fabales; Fabaceae.
CCAACUUUGAAUACUCAAACCCUCAUUCUCAACCCCAAACAUCAAACACCACAUUCGCACAACCCACUCCUACAUACAACCCUGAUGAUGUCUAUUAUCCUCCUAUCCAACACACCCAAUCCAACACCUACACACAACUCCCACAUUCACUGCCCAACUAUGACCUCACUGAUGAUCAUAUAAUGAAUAUCCCUUCUUUUCGCAUUCAAGAUCUCGACAGUAUGGAUAUGCCUCCAAACACAUCACAACAACAUCAAAGUCAACAACAACAUCAACA